This is a non-coding RNA of Plectropomus leopardus (leopard coralgrouper), 286 nucleotides long. The record is from RefSeq and is a predicted model, not a curated record. NCBI's taxonomy places the organism in Eukaryota, Metazoa, Chordata, Actinopteri, Perciformes, Serranidae.
UCACAGUUUCACGCGCGAGCUGGACAGAUGGUCGAGGCAGGAGGCAGAGCGCGCGCACAGAAACGAGAUCGGAAUGUGUUGUUGGGACAUGGCAGCAGAGUCCUCGUGUCCUUAAGACGCACACGGAACAAGACAGAGGGACACGGUGUCUACGGUCAAGAUUUGAAGUUUGUAACGCGGUAAAGGGAUGAAAAGUGAGUCCGAUGUGAAACUCCAGUGAGGCUGCAGUCAUGGAUUUAUUCAAACAGCAGAGAGUGGAGGAUUUCUACGACAUCGGUGAAGAGUU